UCCAGACACAAAAUCCAGACAACAAAGUGCAAACACUGGAUAUCAUAGCAUUUAUAAUACCUAACAUCUAAUUUUUUAAAAGUACUGUACUUGCAAAGAAGUAGGAAAAUAUGACCCACAACCAUGAAAAAAGUCAGCUAGUUCAAGGCAAAUGUGUAAAAGAGAAAAAUGGCUUUGGUGCUUUCUUCCUGUACAUUCAGUGGAAUCUCACAUCUCAAAGCUUUCUAAGCUUGCAACAUAGCCCCCAGCUCACAGUGCUCAGAGCUUCACACAGCAGUGCUCUCUCUUCUUUCUCUUCCUCUAUAUGCAACUUAACUCAUUUGAUCUGUCUUUAUAGUAUUCUUUUUUACUUAGUUUCUCUCUCCUGUAUAUAUCAAGUUUCAACUGGCUAAUCUUUUAAUCUAAUAUAUUAUAACGAGGAAAGGCUAAAGCUACAAAAACUUCCCCAUGUCUAUACUACGUGAGGCCUCUCUUUACCAGGCCAUGGUAUUACCAUCUUACUCUAAAUUGUAGAAACUUCACUUGAAUAGAGGAAGAGUAAUUGAUUAGAAAAGUUCACUUUGAAUGGAAUCUCAUGGAACCACCGAUGGAUAGGGUGGAUGCCUACUUUGAGUUUCAUUUCUGGGAGCCAAACCAAUCAUUAUUGUUGUUACUGGGGCACGAGAUCAGGGAUGGACAGGCUGUGAUGGUAAUGGGAAGCAAAAUUACCAAGUAUUGGCCAGAUUUUCUUAAUUUUCUCCUGCCUUAGAUUGGGACUGUGGUGCUUGAGACUGAUGUGGGGUGCACCCAGCAAGAAGAUACCAAGUAGCCCCAGAUGGAGGAUGAAGUGAGUAAUAGAUUCAAGGAGUUAGAGCCUGACAGGAAAACAUCAGUAUUUCUGAACAAAAAGAGUGGAAAAGUCUUCGAUAUUUGGAAGUGAGUUGUGGAUGAAGAAUACCAUUGCAUCACAACUGCAUUGUGUGGCUAAACUAGUGAUGUAGAGGUGGAUGCUGAUUCAGAUCUACUGCCAAUGAACGAACAGCCCUCUGUGUCCAGGAGCUGUCAACACCAUGUACCUCUGUGUGUGAUUUGUGGAUGAUUUGUGUGCCUCUUGCCAACAGAGUUCAUAAACUAAAGAUUAAUGAAAGGAAGAGGCAACCCGUUGGGGGCAAAGCGCUGGUAAAGCAGCAAGGUCUUUUGCUUGUUGGAGCUGGAAUAACCAGGAGGAUUCAUCAUUGUUUCAGCUGACUUUGGUGUCUGGCCAAGCCAGAGGCACUGACUGCAAGCACAUUUGGCUUCGUCUCCUCCUCUGCUACCCCUGGUGCCCAGCAAUCCUGCCACCACUGCAUAAGUUGUCGCCAGACUGAAAACCAGUAGUAGAACUCCUCCUUCUUCCUCCUUCUUUGCUAUUUUUAGAGAAAUCUGAAUAACAAGCUAU
Molecule: long non-coding RNA, 1417 nt
Filed under: Equus asinus (donkey)
Lineage: Eukaryota; Metazoa; Chordata; Mammalia; Perissodactyla; Equidae
Description: lncRNA (ENSEASG00005035746.1)
Source: RNAcentral